GAUGAACGCUGGCGGCGUGCCUAAUACAUGCAAGUCGAGCGAACAGACGAGGAGCUUGCUCCUCUGACGUUAGCGGCGGACGGGUGAGUAACACCUGGAUAACCUACCUAUAAGACUGGGAUAACUUCGGGAAACCGGAGCUAAUACCGGAUAAUAUAUUGAACCGCAUGGUUCAAUAGUGAAAGACGGUUUUGCUGUCACUUAUAGAUGGAUCCGCGCCGCAUUAGCUAGUUGGUAAGGUAACGGCUUACCAAGGCGACGAUGCGUAGCCGACCUGAGAGGGUGAUCGGCCACACUGGAACUGAGACACGGUCCAGACUCCUACGGGAGGCAGCAGUAGGGAAUCUUCCGCAAUGGGCGAAAGCCUGACGGAGCAACGCCGCGUGAGUGAUGAAGGUCUUCGGAUCGUAAAACUCUGUUAUUAGGGAAGAACAAAUGUGUAAGUAACUAUGCACGUCUUGACGGUACCUAAUCAGAAAGCCACGGCUAACUACGUG
This 497-nucleotide ribosomal RNA is filed under the name uncultured bacterium. Its description in RNAcentral is "partial 16S ribosomal RNA". It matches the Rfam family "Bacterial small subunit ribosomal RNA", at positions 28 to 507 of the family's 1533-position model. The record is from RNAcentral.